Molecule: transfer RNA, 77 nt
Filed under: Acidimicrobiia bacterium
Lineage: Bacteria; Bacillati; Actinomycetota; Acidimicrobiia
Description: tRNA-Ile
Rfam family: tRNA
About the family: Transfer RNA (tRNA) molecules are approximately 80 nucleotides in length. Their secondary structure includes four short double-helical elements and three loops (D, anti-codon, and T loops). Further hydrogen bonds mediate the characteristic L-shaped molecular structure. tRNAs have two regions of fundamental functional importance: the anti-codon, which is responsible for specific mRNA codon recognition, and the 3' end, to which the tRNAs corresponding amino acid is attached (by aminoacyl-tRNA synthetases). tRNAs cope with the degeneracy of the genetic code in two manners: having more than one tRNA (with a specific anti-codon) for a particular amino acid; and 'wobble' base-pairing, i.e. permitting non-standard base-pairing at the 3rd anti-codon position.
Source: RNAcentral
GGGCCCGUAGCUCAACCGGUCAGAGCAGCGGACUCAUAAUCCGUUGGUUGCAGGUUCGAGUCCUGCCGGGCCCACCA